RNAcentral lists this ribosomal RNA (440 nucleotides) under uncultured bacterium. RNAcentral's name for it is "bacterial SSU rRNA". It matches the Rfam family "Bacterial small subunit ribosomal RNA", at positions 338 to 795 of the family's 1533-position model. The record is from RNAcentral.
CCUACGGGAGGCUGCAGUGGGGAAUAUUGCACAAUGGGGGAAACCCUGAUGCAGCAACGCCGCGUGAGCGCUGAAGGCCUUCGGGUCGUAAAGCUCUGUCCUAAGGGAAGAAUACUGACGGUACCUUCGGAGGAAGCCCCGGCUAACUACGUGCCAGCAGCCGCGGUAAUACGUAGGGGGCUAGCGUUAUCCGGAAUUACUGGGCGUAAAGGAUGCGUAGGCGGCCCUUCAAGUCAGAGUUGAAAGGCUACGGCUCAACCGUAGUAAGCCUUUGAAACUGUAGGGCUUGAGUGCAGGAGAAGAGUGUGGAAUUCCUAUUGAAGGGUUGAAAUGCGUAGAUAUUGGGAAGAACACUAGUUGCGAAGGCGGCACUCUGGACUGUAACUGACGCUGAGGCACGAAAGCGUGGGGAGCGAACAGGAUUAGAUACCCUAGUAGUC